This 510-nucleotide ribosomal RNA is filed under the name uncultured bacterium. RNAcentral describes it as "bacterial SSU rRNA". It matches the Rfam family "Bacterial small subunit ribosomal RNA", at positions 336 to 867 of the family's 1533-position model. The record is from RNAcentral.
CUCCUACGGGAGGCAGCAGUCGGGAAUAUUGCGCAAUGGAGGAAACUCUGACGCAGUGACGCCGCGUAUAGGACGAAGGUCUUCGGAUUGUAAACUAUUGUCGUUAGGGAAGAGAAAGGACAGUACCUAAGGAGGAAGCUCCGGCUAACUACGUGCCAGCAGCCGCGGUAAUACGUAGGGAGCAAGCGUUAUCCGGAAUGAUUGGGCGUAAAGGGUACGUAGGCGGCAUGAUAAGUCUGGAGUGAAAGGCUACAGCUCAACUGUAGUAUGCUCUGGAAACUGUCAAGCUAGAGUGCAGAAGAGGGCAAUGGAACUCCAUGUGUAGCGGUAAAAUGCGUAGAUAUAUGGAAGAACACCGGUGGCGAAGGCGGUUGCCUGGUCUGAAACUGACGCUGAAGUACGAAAGCGUGGGGAGCAAAUAGGAUUAGAUACCCUAGUAGUCCACGCCGUAAACGAUGAGAACUAGGUGUUGGGGGAAUAACUCAGUGCCGCAGUUAACGCAAUAAGUUC